ACUGAAGGAGUAAUUUGAGCCUGUAUCCUUCGCUAAAUACCUUUGGUAAGAUUGUGAAGAGUGGUCUCAGGCCCCUGAUAGAGCAUCUGCAUAGUCUGAUGCUCUUCCCAGUAACUCCUGGGAAUGACAGGAGCAAGGGAUCUUCAUCCUGAAUAUUGCCACAUCUUUGUGUUGGCUCCCCACAGAAGCAACUGUAAGAAAACCUCAGGCACAGCAGCCCAGCACAGAGGGGGACCCUGCCCAGCCCUUGGCCCUGCAGAGCAGAGAAGGAAUUCAGCAUGGCCUUCCCCAGUAGAGUUAUUCAGAGAUCAGGCUCCAAGAUCCCACCCUGAACACAUUCUUGGGAAGAAAAAGAAAUUUCUCUGUUCACUGACCAAGUGCCAAGAAGUGUGUUUAUGCAGCCCCUUCUUUGAGAACAGUGUUUGAUGCUGUUCACAAAGCCUCCCUCAUCCCCAUUAGGCAGGGGUCCAAGCUCCUCCAAUCUUCCCCAGCUUUCAGAUCUUGGACCUGGAGCUAUCCAUGGUUUGUGCAACACGCCCAGUUCUAAUGUUCUUUCUCACUGCAAACAUCUGAUUUCGUGCACAGUUCCUGUUUUGGCACUAUAGUGUCCAAAUCAUCCCAUCACAUCACAAAAUUGUUCAGCUCAAAACAAAUGGCCCCAGCAUUGACCCACCUUAGGAACCACCAACACCACAAAUGUGGGGAAGGGAGAUUGUUUGUUGCAAUUUCUGAACUGACAUCUUAAUUUAAGGAAUUUUAGGAAUCUCUGAUGAGGAGAUAAAGAUCAGAAAUGAGAGAUGCUCUGGAGAGAUACUCUUGAGCUCCAGGUAGUGGACGAAAACCUUGAUGAAUUUAGGAGCUGGCAAAGACUGCUGGUGUGCAAAACUGUUCUAGAGUGUCCCAGGUACAUCUCCACACAGACGUGGUCAAUAGCCUCUGUGACUGGACCAGAGGGAAAGCAAAAAUCUCCACUGCCUGUGAAGUCCAAAGCUUUUGGAUCUCAGGAGCAGAAGCUAUACAAACCAGCACUUUCUGUGUCUCUGAGCUAGUGGAGUAGUUUUAGGGACCUUGAUAUCAAAGAGCAGUGAGAACUGCAAGUCAAAUGGUUCUCAUUAGUGGCUCAUUUUCUUGGUGUGAGGGAUGAAAGCUAAAGCAUUUUGGUGGAGGGGAAGAGAAUAACUACAGAAGAUCAUCCUUUCCCCAGGCAGUGACUCUAGAGCUUGGCAUGACAUUGAAGCAGGGCUGUAUUGCACCGGAGAGACUAAGGCAACAAGGGCAAGCUGUGCUUUGAAAAGCCACAUGAGCAUGGUGUUUCUGGAGCUUGUAGGCUUGUAGGGGUCUCCUGCUUUUCUGGAGAUUUCUUGGGGAAGCUGAUAUGCCAUGCUUGAAUGGGAAGCAUUACAGAAAAAAAUAUAUACGUUUUUGCACUCAUUUUCUUGAAUUUUAAGAGCUAUCAACCUGCCAUCAAGUCAGUGGAGCAUUACAGUCUGGUGUCUCAGAUCAGUUAGUAAACUAACAGCCAUUAGCAGGCAGUAGUCUGAAUUUUUAGUGUUGAAGAACCAGUGUUAAAGGAGGACUCUGGAGAAUGGUUCCAGGACUAAGGAGUGAGCUGAUGAAGGAUUGUUCCUCCCAAUGGCCAAAUGGUGAUGUAGCAAGUCUUCACUGGUGGUAGAGAAAAAACUCAUAUGUUUAGAGCAGCUGCAAAACAACUGGCCAUGCUGACCUUCCAAACAAUAGAGAGAAUUCUCUGAAAUAUCUAAGAGACUCUUGGUGCCCUUGCAUCUGGCUGUUUGCAUGCUUAGGGCAGAUCCACUGCUUUGGGACCCAUCCACUUGAAAUCUUUACUGUGAGGGUUUUUUCUCUCUUCUGAACACUCGCAUUUUUUGGAAAGCAAGGUGCAGCCCACAGGUCUAGUCUUUUCAACCACAGAGCGCCAGCCCACUUUGAGUCCAGCUCACAGCUGUGAGCCAUGACAGAUUGUAAAUCUGCAGGCUGGAAUGGGAGAACAUCUGGGUGGCCACCAGAGAGGGCUGGGGGAGCUGUCAGGGGCACUGCCUGGCUUUUGAUCAGCCCUAGGAGCUGGCAACGUUCAGCAGGCGCUAAUCCGCUCUUUUACCGAUUCUCAGCAAUCAGCUUCCCAUCACAGCUGAAGGAGGGAAAAAGUUACUUGAUCACAAACCUGGUGUUGAAACAUACCUUUAGCUUUUUUCUAAAUUUCUUUAAAUUAUAAAAGAGGAAGGUAGGAGGGAAAUACAAAGAAAUAUACACCAAAUAUUCACUCCACAGAGUAGAACUCUGGAUUAACUCAUGGUACAUUUUCAAACAGAGUAUUUGCCUUUGUGGUUUCUGCUUUCUUGAGAUUUCACAUGAUUUGGAGAAGGGAUUUUAGUCUCUUGAGAUCACACAGGCAACCGUCAGGAUAGUCAGCUGUGGCCUCCUUCUGCUGGAGGCUCGUCCAGCCUGCUAGAUAGCUUCACAUUUGUGUGCAGCCUUCCCAUAUAAAAUGGAUAGAAUACUGUUCCCUUCAUAGAGAAGAGGAAGCUGAGAGCCUCAGCUCAUGCUGCAAAGCUGUGGCUGGGAACUAGAUCCAGAUCCAAUGAUCCCAAAUGCCUUAGCUGUAAAAGUCUCAUUGUGAAAUCCUUUGUUUGAGCUGUCUUUUCAUUUGCAUGGUGCUGUUUCUGCAUUUGAUGGACCACCCUAGAACACAUGUUGUCUCCUCAACCUAAAAGUGGACCUAUCAUCUAAUUACUGUCAGAGCAUGAACUCUAUUCACUUGCUGGGAUCACAGAACUUCCUACAGAAAUGCUUAUCGGCUGCAGAGAAAAUGGUGCCCAGUUAAAAUUUCAUUCACAGAUGGGGAAAAAAAAUCCUCUGAAGACUGACCAUUUGUAUCACAGCUGUCUUAAGGGGAAGAGGGAGACUAGAGACUUGCUGUGCUCUGAAACUGCAGUCAAUCCCUAACUCAAAGAUUUAUUGCCCAGGCAGGGUCCCACUGGAGGCUCAGCACUCCCUGGCCUGUAUGGUGUGAAUGGAGCCACAAGUCAGGUGGCUUUCCCAACAUCAUGCUUUGAAUCCAGCUGGUUCAAGUGCAAAACGGAAAACUCCUGAGCUCCGUUACAGCUUCUGACCUGUGGGAUAGCCCUGUCUCUCUGAAUUUAGUAAGCCUUUAAAUGGGACCAGGUGUGCAGUAUAAGGUAAAAGAGCCCAAGGGAAGCCUCUCACUCACUGGUAGUCACAACCUUGUUCUGUAGGUCAACCACCAGUGUCACAAGGACACAUAGAAAUGUUCUCUACCACCAAAGUAUGUGUCACUGUCCUUGAUCCUAAACAUACAGGCUGCCUUUUAAUUAGCAACACACGGCCCAGAAGAAUGACAAGAUGUGUCUGAAUUUACCUCUAUCUUAAUUGCAUCAGGAAGUUGCCUUCUGGCGCUGAUCAGCUCUGAAACUCUUGGCACAUCUCAUGCUAAUGGAGUGAGGCUGCAGCUGGCAGCUCCUCCCAGGCUCUCCCUGGGCUCUUAUUCACCAGCCUCUGAGUAGCACCUGCUGCAGGUGGAGCCUCCUGGGAGUACCAAACUGGUCGAGUGUUCCCGUGUGGGAGAAUAGGAUGCUCUACUGAGUCACCUCAGUGCUGGCAAGCAGAGGAGUUACAAGGCUGCAGUGGGAUGGAGAAAGGGCUUGCUGUGUUUCUUCUCUCUGCCUAAUUUCCCCGUGACGGAGUGUGGCCAGCCUCACUUCCUCUCCCAAAGCAGAUGUGUGGUUUGGGACUGCAGCUCCCGGAGCACUGGGCUAUGCUGUCCUGUACCAAAGCCCAUCCGUGUGGUGGCCUUGAUGUUGCAGCACACAGUGAGUUCAAAAUGGCAGGGAGGUAUUUGUGUUGAGCACAUCUCCCUUGUUAUACUGGGUGGCCCAAGUCUGCUGACAGUUUUAAUUUAGGAAGCUGAUGGUAGUUCUCUACACACUGUGUCUGCCUGUUAGUUUGGCUGAGCUGGAAACACAUCCCCUUCACUCCCCAUGGCAUAGCCUAUUUGGGGUCACAAAGUGCCUUUGCUACCAUGGGAAUCACGCAUCCCCAAACUCCCCUCCUCCACUUGCCCUUUUCUUCUCGUGUUACAGCCUAGAGAGCAUCGCAGAGAGGUUUCUGAGGUCUGAGAGCCCGGCAGCAGCAGGAUGACAGCAUCCCUGCCUGCAAGAGCUUCAGAGUUAGAGGGUGAUGUCCAGUGGCCUUCAUGGAGUCCAUAGCCCAGGAAGAAGGCAGCAAAAAGGUCUGGAGCUCUCCAGACAGCCCUUAGUACAUGUGAACAGCCCCACUCCCCUUUCCAUAGACUGGUUCCUUGGACACAAAUGUGCACUGUGGCAGAAAUAGGGUCUGUGUAUGGGAGAGGCUGAGCUGGAACAGGCACUGGGGCUGAGACAGCCUUCUUGUGAUUGCUUUUCUUUAUUUAGUACCUACUGCUGCAGGGCAGUUUAAUCCUAGCACUUGCCUGUCUUCCCACAUUAAAUGCCACUGCUCCGACUCUGCACACCCAGGUGCUAACAGAUUAACAAGAUGAAGGAGCAGGGGGUGUAUAAUUGUGAUACCGCUAUAGCUUACACAGAAGAUAAUCAGUGUGUGCCGAAAAGGCAGUGGCAAAUGGCUCUGGGAGGAGAUUUCUCCCUAGAGGAGCAGCAUUUCACACCACCAGCCUCUGUAAUGAGGUGAAAACUACGCAUCCUUAGUCCCAGGGGUCCUGCCAUGGGGUGUAAGCGACCGACUUAGCUCCCCUGCAGCAGCCCUCAAGCACAGCAAUUUGCCUUACCCGGGGCUGUGGAUACACCUCGUGCUUCCUCAGUUUGUUUUGAUGCUCUUCUACUGCGAAACCGUAUUUAAAGAAAAGAAAUGAGUAAAUUCUGCCAAACCAAAGGGUUUGACGUUUGAUUGCAAGUUUUGAGAAGAGAGAUAAAAUGCUUUUUUUUUUUCCUCAGCCAUGACCACUUAGAGUUUGGUUGACACACUUCCCACCGCAGCAGUGCAGUCUUUCAGAACACACUGCUUUCUUAAGCCAUCCUUUUGGUCUGGGCUGUGUGGUUUCUGUGGUGGGUCUCAGGUUUCCUUGUCAGAUUUGGGAGCUGUGUGUCUGUCCUCAAAACCACUGAGCAUGUCUCACAGGCCCCCUUCCCUGCACACCUAAGUGAAGAGUUGUUUUUUAGGUACUGUUUUCUAUUGCUCAGGGGCUGAGAAAAUGCCAGUGAAAUAGGGCAGAGCAUGAUGGAGAAUGAAUUUCUCUGGAGGAAAGAGAGAACCGCAGACGCCUGCCCUUCUAUUCCUGUUUACCUUUGCUUUCAGGAGGUCAAUUAAAUUGUGGGCAUAAACUUACAUUGCGGUUUGCAAACUGAUACUCACCAGAAGGUGUUCUGGCGUCACAGAGCAUUUUGUGUUUCAGUUUCUUCUUUCCCAGCUCCUUUAUGGCUGGGUAAUAACUUGCAACACAUGUAUCACAGCAACAUUAUUUGCACAACAUUUCUGCAGCAUCACAAUUAAAUUUAGUUAGCAAAAUUCCCAUUAAGAUGUUACUCAUGUGGAAUGACCAACAACCCAUUUUGAACUCGGACUUUCCCAUUUUUAUUGUGUGGUGCAGCUGCGGGAUUUCUUCAUAAGCUGUGAUUGAAAGGUUCAUGGUUUUUUAUUCUGUGUAUGUUGAGAAAGGAUGGGGGGGUAAUGGUUCAGGCAGCAAACAUUCAUUUGGCCUCCUACCCACUCAGUUAUCCCCUUUCACAUGGGACAUAACCACCCCAUGGAACCCCUUGCUGCAGGAUAUUGUGGAAAACAACCAUCUCAGUGGCUCAAGCAUCACAACAGAUGAUAUGAAACCUCUCAUGGUCAAAUACAGUGGUCUAGCCAAAGCUCCAUCUCUGGAUGUGUCUCCAGUGCAAGCUGUCAGGUGCUAAAAGAGUGCAGAAAGGAAAAGAUCCCUCUGUCAAUGCCCAGUUUUUAUACUUCAGUUGCUGUCUAAGCUAGGAGAAUGAACUAGGUGGACUUUUGAUCUGAUCCAGUGUAGCACUUACUUCAAAUUUACAUUGGCUGGGAGUCAAGCCUGGUUUCUAUCACAGUGUGUUGUGCAAUUUUUGCUCUCAUUUCCAGUGUUGUUCCCCUCUGCCACAUCCCACAGAGGUUAGUGAGUUUGUAUCUCAUGGAAAAGUGAGUAUUUUCUGACUGCACUCACAUUUGUACCACCAAGUCUUGCCCAAUUUUGCUUCUGAGUUCUUACUCAGAGAACUGCUUGCACUUCAAAGAAAGUGCUUACAUGCAGCUGACUUAAAUAGACAUCCUGGAGCGAGACUCCAUCAGCUCUCUAUCCAUGUGAUGGCUGUCCCCUCAUUUUAUCACCCAUUUCCUCGGUACUGGGCUCUAAGAGAACCUCUCUUAGGCUCUCCCUUCCCAUGGAUACUGUCCUGACACAGAACCCAAGAGCUGCUAUCUUUGGUCCUCAAGUCAGGAGGAGCUUUUCUUUGCUAGACUGACCUAAGGAGAAGAGUCAACUAAUUCAAGAAGAGCUUUCCAGCAAGAAUCAAUGGGAUAUAGUGUGUUUUUCAAAUUCCCUUAGUAAAGUCCUGAAGUCAAAGGCAGAGGCUGGUAGAUCUGUCAAGUGGAACUGCCAGGAGUUGUUGGGAUUACUGUCCACUCAUCAACCAGACUUUUCUACAAAUCUGCACUGUUGCAUUUGUUGGCAAGUCUGUCUUUUUAGCAUCUUGAGAUCCCUUGCAUUAUACAAUACUCCAGAAUUUCCCUGAUCCCGCAGCUUGACGUGCUUGCACCCAAACCUGACAAUACUUAUCCUUCAUUCCACAUUCCUCCCUGGCAAGACUCCCUCACUGGUCAGCAGCCCUUCUUCACUGCCAUGUGCUGAUUGCUUUAAUGAUCUAGAAAAGAAGAUGUACAAUAAUACAAAAAGGAUGUAAUGAGAUAAUGAGAUAAAAGCAAUGUAAAUGCCUCCUGGAUAAGAAAGAGCUUGACAAAGCUUGGGGAGUCACUCCUCAGUGGUUCAGUGAAGAGGGAUCCCCUUUGCAAGAGAAAGUCAGAGUGAUGAAAACAAGUAAAGGUACCCUGGAGCCCUGGUCUGACUCAUGAACUUUAUGGGGCUCCAGGUGAUAUGUAGCAAUGCUCAGGGAGGAGGCUGGCACUUGUAGUCAUGAUGGGACCACUGCUGAGGUCCCAACUCUUUUGUAUCAGCUGCUAUGAGCCACAGGUCUGAUCACCCACCCCCACAGGAGACAAGGCAGCGACAGUGGCAAGACCCUGAGCAUUCCAGGAUGAAAACUACCUCAGGAAGGAGAAAGGGAGUCAUCAAUAUGAGUGUGCCAGUGGUCUUAAAAGGGACAGUUGGGAACACCUGCCUUUUUCCCUUAUAAGCACAAAAGUGAUAGAGGAAAAAAGUUAAAGAAUGGGGAAUUCCAGUGGAAUACACAUAUUUUGACACCAGCCAGUGUCAGCCACAUUUUGACUCAGCAGUACUCAGAAAGGGCCUGGGUAGCUACAAGGCACAGAGCCAUUGCAAAUAACAGUGAGUUAUGCAAUUUUUCUUCUCAUUCUUGUUGCUGGCUUCUGAGAGUUGGCCUAGGGAGUUUCCCUGUCGGGGAGCGGGGAAAUGUCUGACUUCAGUUAUCUCUGUACCAUCAGGCCAACUUCUACAAUUUUGAAGACAGUCAGCAAGGCUCAGAAAAACUGCAAAUAAUGACCACUUGUCAGAAGGAGUAUGAGUUAUCCUGCUCCAGGACCUGCCUUUGGCUGAUCAUUGACUGAGCUGCUUAGCUGGCAGGUAUACCCAUGACAGAGGAUGAAGAGCAGAAAUAUGCUUACUCCACACUUGAGCCCUCCAAGCCCUGACAUCUCUUCUAGGAAACCUGGUGCUGGCCACUGUUGGACAUAGGACUGAAAGAGGGAUUCAUUCCACGUGUGUAUUUCCAGUGGUCCCCUUUCUUUUUUUCCUCUGGUGCUGCAAGCACAGUUUCAGACUUUGGCUCGUACACCUGCCAUGACCUCCCAUGCUUUAAUGUUUGCAGCACCUGUAGAGAAACCUGGAGCAUCCUGCAUUUGAUUGCCUGAUUCCACCAGCUACAAGUCUGGAGAUGACCUGGCUGCCAUGGUGACAGCCUGGAAUAGCACCUGGACCUUCAGGGUGUAGGAAGAGGGUCACAUAGUGUCAGAGUGGUUUGAAAGAGAGGCAAAAGAUUGUCUGCUCCAUAGUCACUGUGGGUUUUGUGUUGAGCCAGCUUGGUGGAAUCAGCAGUUCUCAGGACUGCUCAAGACUGUCAUACCUCACCUGUCUGGGGACUCCAGCAAUACUGACAGCUGGCAUGUUGCAUUAUUAGUCGAGUACUGUUUUCUUGUGGCUUUCUCUUAGCUGCAGUUACAGCCUGUCUAGUCAUUAGCAGCUCCAGGCUGACACACAAGCAGAGAGAAGACUGCUCACCACUCAUCAAAUGCUGAGCUUAUUUGCAUGCUUUCGGUUUUUGUGCAAUUUUUAAAAGUGCAAACAGAUGUCAUGAGAUUUUUAUCUCAUUACCUUCAUAUGGUUUUUAUCCCCAUUAAACUUUCAGAGAAAUACUGUAUGCCACCACGGUUUUGGUCCAGCAACCAUAAGAAGCCCCAUGCAAAGAACAGCCUAAAGCCAGGUAGCUUGGUUACAUAAAAACCUAGAUACUCCAGGACUGAAAUGUUGUACAAACUAGAGUCUUAACAGCUCAGACUGAUCCAAGCUACAGAAAGCUGUCUUCCUUUUUCAUAUGCUCUUCCUUCAUUUACAGCUCUGAACAUCCUGGUAUGAAACUCCCUCCUCUCUCUUCUGAUGAACUGCUUGCCUUCAGUGCACAUUGUGUCAGCCCAAGACAUUGUCUCCUCAGAGUAGUCCUUGUGGUUGGAAAGUGCUGUGCUGCUGGGCUGCAGGCACACGGAUGGGGGUGCACCCCUGACAGGCUCCCCAUCAGGCAUCAAAGGGUUCCUGGUGAGUCUGGUGUCCAGGCACCAUGUCCAGCCUUUGCUGCCUGCUACACAGCCCGGUAGAGGAUCUGAAGUGGACUGGAGGGUAUUGUAAGGUUUAACUUCGCUUACUGGAGCUCAUGCCUCAGAGCAGCACCUGCACCUUUACAGGAGACCAUGCUGGUGCUCCUUUUCAAUAAAAAUACCUCCUGGGCCUUUGAAGCUCAAAUUGAACAAAUCUUCCUUCAAGCUGCUUUACAUUGCCUCUAGUCCAGGCCAUCAGCAGGAAAUUCUUCUGCGUUUCUGCAUUACUGUGCCAGCAACCAGGAAUGGCAGCAGCAUCCCAAGUGAAAAUAUAGGAGAUAAGAACGGUCUGGAUCAAAUUAAGCCUCCAUCUCGCCCAAAGUUUUCUGGCAGGCCAAUUUUUGGUUGCCUCUGAGAGAAAGGCAAGAAGCUUUGCAUCAGCGGGAUAAUGCGCUUCCAAAAGAGUUUCUUCCUCAGAAGUUGUCUCUCUUGCUUAGAAGUUGUCUUCUGCCUUGAGGCAGGGUGGUUUCUGUCCAAAGCUACUUGAUUGGACUUUGUUCUUUGUUUAUUUU
This is a long non-coding RNA of Passer domesticus (house sparrow), 9551 nucleotides long. RefSeq lists it as uncharacterized. The record is from RefSeq and is a predicted model, not a curated record. NCBI's taxonomy places the organism in Eukaryota, Metazoa, Chordata, Aves, Passeriformes, Passeridae. The transcript is spliced from 4 exons.